Long non-coding RNA from Notolabrus celidotus (New Zealand spotty), 543 nucleotides. RefSeq lists it as uncharacterized. The record is from RefSeq and is a predicted model, not a curated record. The transcript is spliced from 2 exons. Lineage: Eukaryota; Metazoa; Chordata; Actinopteri; Labriformes; Labridae.
CUGGAACUUGUGAUGGAGUGACAAGGAAGUGUUGUUAUGCCGAUCGAGUGUGCUAAAAAGUAAAGUGCUUCAAGACAGUGUUAUGUACAAGGUCAGAGAGGGAAUGAGGAGGAGGGGAAUCAUGAUUUGUUCAGAUCUUCAGGUGUCUCUAGGAAACAUCCAUCAAAGCUGAAGGACUUCAAUGACUUCGUAACAAUAUGGAAGCGAACCCUAGAACCACCAGAUACCCCAAUUGCCUGCCUCAGCCGCCUGUGAGUGUCUCUUCAGCUGUGCUGGACUCCUUUUUACUGCAAAGGGAGCAAGGAUGACCUCUACUAACUUUGAAAACCAGCUUCUGCUCAAACUAAACAGGAAGUUUAGUGAGUAAUGUUGAAAAGAAGAAACCACAACAUAGGAACUUGAAUUAAAGCAUACAGUAGGGCAGGGCAAUUUUCUGUGUAGCAGCUGCCAUGUGGUUCAUUUCUGUCGUGUUGACAUGUUUCAUGUUGUUAAUACACUUUAUUUGUAAAGAUUUCCCUUAAUUAAACAACAACAACUUUGAAA